UUCAUAAAUAUUGAAGUUAACUUUUAAGUGAAAAGGCUUAAAUAAUUUGGGGGGACGAUAAGACCCUAUAAAUCUUAACAUUUCUACUAUUAAAUGUACUUAGAGUGUAGUUGAUGUAUGUUUAUUGGGGUAGUGUUUUACUGGGGCGGUAUAAAUAAAAUUAGUAACUGUUUAUAUUAAUUACAGUAAUAUCUGAACAUUUGUAGAUCCUUAAUUAAAGAUCAAAAGGUUAAGUUACUUUAGGGAUAACAGCGUUAUUUCUUUUAAGAGUUCAUAUCUAAAAAGAAGUUUGCGACCUCGAU
This 302-nucleotide ribosomal RNA is filed under the name Emerita analoga. RNAcentral describes it as "partial 16S ribosomal RNA". It matches the Rfam family "Bacterial large subunit ribosomal RNA", at positions 2048 to 2530 of the family's 2925-position model. The record is from RNAcentral. Lineage: Eukaryota; Metazoa; Arthropoda; Malacostraca; Decapoda; Hippidae.